Molecule: non-coding RNA, 72 nt
Organism: Myotis lucifugus (little brown bat)
Lineage: Eukaryota; Metazoa; Chordata; Mammalia; Chiroptera; Vespertilionidae
Source: Rfam
GCUGUUUUGGCUCAGUGGGUAGAGUAUCAGCCUGCGGACUGAAGGAUCCCAGUUCAAUUCUGGUCAAGGGCA